Molecule: transfer RNA, 77 nt
Filed under: Sphingopyxis granuli
Lineage: Bacteria; Pseudomonadati; Pseudomonadota; Alphaproteobacteria; Sphingomonadales; Sphingopyxidaceae
Also listed under: 8 other names
Description: tRNA-Arg
Rfam family: tRNA
About the family: Transfer RNA (tRNA) molecules are approximately 80 nucleotides in length. Their secondary structure includes four short double-helical elements and three loops (D, anti-codon, and T loops).
Source: RNAcentral
GCAUCCGUAGCUCAGCUGGAUAGAGUACUGCCCUCCGAAGGCAGGGGUCACAGGUUCGAAUCCUGUCGGAUGCGCCA